This is a small nuclear RNA of Callithrix jacchus (white-tufted-ear marmoset), 141 nucleotides long. Its record names the gene U4. It matches the Rfam family "U4 spliceosomal RNA". Rfam says of the family: U4 small nuclear RNA (U4 snRNA) is a component of the major U2-dependent spliceosome. The structure of U4 snRNA from yeast and human has been reported. The record is from Ensembl. NCBI's taxonomy places the organism in Eukaryota, Metazoa, Chordata, Mammalia, Primates, Cebidae.
AGCUUUGCACAGUGGCAGUAUCAUAGCCAAUGAGGUUUAUCUGAGGCAUAAUUAUUGCUAAAUGAAAACUUUUCCCAAUACCCCGCCAUGAUGACUUGAAAUAUAGUCGGCAUUGGCAAUUUUUGACAGUCUCUAUGGAGA